RNAcentral lists this ribosomal RNA (253 nucleotides) under uncultured bacterium. Its description in RNAcentral is "partial 16S ribosomal RNA". It matches the Rfam family "Bacterial small subunit ribosomal RNA", at positions 524 to 776 of the family's 1533-position model. The record is from RNAcentral.
AACGUAGGAGGCGAGCGUUAUCCGGAUUUACUGGGCGUAAAGCGCGCGCAGGCGGUCGGGUGAGUCGGACGUGAAAGCUCCUGGCUUAACUGGGAGAGGUCGUUCGAUACUGCCCGGCUUGAGGUUGGGAGAGGGGUGCGGAAUUCCCGGUGUAGUGGUGGAAUGCGUAGAUAUCGGGAGGAACACCAGUGGCGAAGGCGGCACCCUGGCCCACACCUGACGCUGAGGUGCGAAAGCGUGGGUAGCAAACAGG